RNAcentral lists this ribosomal RNA (253 nucleotides) under uncultured bacterium. Its description in RNAcentral is "partial 16S ribosomal RNA". It matches the Rfam family "Bacterial small subunit ribosomal RNA", at positions 524 to 776 of the family's 1533-position model. The record is from RNAcentral.
UACGUAGGGUGCGAGCGUUAAUCGGAAUUACUGGGCGUAAAGGGCUCGUAGGCGGCCAACUAAGUCAGACGUGAAAUCCCUCGGCUUAACCGGGGAACUGCGUCUGAUACUGGAUGGCUUGAGAUUGGGAGAGGGAUGCGGAAUUCCAGGUGUAGCGGUGAAAUGCGUAGAUAUCUGGAGGAACACCGGUGGCGAAGGCGGCAUCCUGGACCAACACUGACGCUGAGGAGCGAAAGCCAGGGGAGCAAACGGG